AGUUCGAUUCGGCUCAGAUUGAACGCUGGCGGGAUGCUUUCAUACAUGCAAGUCGAACGGCAGCACGACUUCGGUCUGGUGGCGAGUGGCGAACGGGUGAGUAAUGUAUCGGAACGUGCCCAGUAGCGGGGGAUAACUACGCGAAAGCGUAGCUAAUACCGCAUACGCCCUUCGGGGGAAAGCGGGGACCUUUCGGCCCGCACUAUUAGAGCGGCCGAUAUCGGAUUAGUUGCGGGGUAACGGCUCACUCAAGGCGACGAUCCGUAGCUGGUUUGAGAGGACGACCAGCCACACUGGGACUGAGACACGGCCCAGACUGCUGGGGAGGCAGUGGGGAAUGGAUAAUGGGGAACCCUGAUCCAGCCAUCCGCGUGCGUGAUGAAGGUCCUCGGGUUGUGGAAAGGACUUUGGCAGGGAGAAGAAAUGGCACGGGAUAAUACCCCGUGCAACUGACGGUACCUGCAGAAUAAGCACCGGCUAACUACGUGCCAGCAGCCGCGGUAUGACGUAGGUGGCGUUAAUCGGAAUUACUGGGCGUAGCGUGCGCAGGCGGGCUCGAAAGAAAGAUGUGAAAUCCCAGAGCUUAACUUUGAACUGCAUUUUUAAUGUCGAGCGAGUGCGUCAGAGGGAGGUGGUGGAAUUCCGCGUAGCAGUGAAGGUGCAGAUGCGGAGGAACACUGACGGCGAAGGCAGCCUCCUGGGAUAACACUGACGCUCAUGCACGAAAGCGUGGAGCAAACAGGAUUAGAUACCCCAUGGUAGUCCACGCCCUAAACGAUGUCAACUAGCUGUUGGGGCCUUCGGAAAUUUGGCGCAGCUAUCACAGAAGUUGACCGCCUGGGGAGUACGGUCGCAAGAUUAAACCAGCGAAUUGACGGGACCCGCACAAGCGGUGGAUGAUGUGGAUUAAUUCGAUGCAACGCGAAAACCUUACCUACCCUUGACAUGUCUGGAAUCCCGAAGAGAUUUGGGAGUACCGCAAGAGAACCGGAACAAGAAAAGGGCAUGGCUGUCGUCAGCUCGUGUCGAGAUGUUGGGUUAAGUCCCGCAACGAGCGCAACCCUUGGGUCAGUUGCUUAAGGAAAGGGCACUCCACGAGACUGCCGGUGACAAACCGGAGGAAGGUGGGGAUGACGUCAAGUCCUCAUGGCCCUUAUGGGUAGGGCUUCACACGUCAUACAAUGGUCGGGACAGAGGGUCGCCAACCCGCGAGGGGGAGCCAAUCCCAGAAACCCGGAUCGUAGUCCGGAUCGCAGUCUGCAACUCGACUGCGUGAAGUCGGAAUCGCUAGUAAUCGCGGAUCAGCAUGUCGCGGGUGAAUACGUUCCCGGGUCUUGUACACACCGCCCGUCACACCAUGGGAGUGGGUUUUACCAGAAGUAGUUAGCCUAACCGUAAGGAGGGCGAUUACCACGGUAGGAUUCAUGAAUCAAAGUAAGUCGCAUAAGGUA
This 1451-nucleotide ribosomal RNA is filed under the name uncultured Bordetella sp. RNAcentral's name for it is "partial 16S-23S ribosomal RNA intergenic spacer". It matches the Rfam family "Bacterial small subunit ribosomal RNA". Lineage: Bacteria; Pseudomonadati; Pseudomonadota; Betaproteobacteria; Burkholderiales; Alcaligenaceae. The record is from RNAcentral.